CCGCGCUGCAUUAGCUAGUUGGUAAGGUAACGGCUUACCAAGGCAACGAUGCAUAGCCGACCUGAGAGGGUGAUCGGCCACACUGGAACUGAGACGCGGUCCAGACUCCUACGGGAGGCAGCAGUAGGGAAUCUUCCGCAAUGGGCGAAAGCCUGACGGAGCAACGCCGCGUGAGUGAUGAAGGUCUUCGGAUCGUAAAACUCUGUUAUUAGGGAAGAACAUAUGUGUAAGUAACUGUGCACAUCUUGACGGUACCUAAUCAGAAAGCCACGGCUAACUACGUGCCAGCAGCCGCGGUAAUACGUAGGUGGCAAGCGUUAUCCGGAAUUAUUGGGCGUAAAGCGCGCGUAGGCGGUUUUUUAAGUCUGAUGUGAAAGCCCACGGCUCAACCGUGGAGGGUCAUUGGAAACUGGAAAACUUGAGUGCAGAAGAGGAAAGUGGAAUUCCAUGUGUAGCGGUGAAAUGCGCAGAGAUAUGGAGGAACACCAGUGGCGAAGGCGACUUUCUGGUCUGUAACUGACGCUGAUGUGCGAAAGCGUGGGGAUCAAACAGGAUUAGAUACCCUGGUAGUCCACGCCGUAAACGAUGAGUGCUAAGUGUUAGGGGGUUUCCGCCCCUUAGUGCUGCAGCUAACGCAUUAAGCACUCCGCCUGGGGAGUACGACCGCAAGGUUGAAACUCAAAGGAAUUGACGGGGACCCGCACAAGCGGUGGAGCAUGUGGUUUAAUUCGAAGCAACGCGAAGAACCUUACCAAAUCUUGACAUCCUUUGACAACUCUAGAGAUAGAGCCUUCCCCUUCGGGGGACAAAGUGACAGGUGGUGCAUGGUUGUCGUCAGCUCGUGUCGUGAGAUGUUGGGUUAAGUCCCGCAACGAGCGCAACCCUUAAGCUUAGUUGCCAUCAUUAAGUUGGGCACUCUAAGUUGACUGCCGGUGACAAACCGGAGGAAGGUGGGGAUGACGUCAAAUCAUCAUGCCCCUUAUGAUUUGGGCUACACACGUGCUACAAUGGACAAUACAAAGGGCAGCGAAACCGCGAGGUCAAGCAAAUCCCAUAAAGUUGUUCUCAGUUCGGAUUGUAGUCUGCAACUCGACUACAUGAAGCUGGAAUCGCUAGUAAUCGUAGAUCAGCAUGCUACGGUGAAUACGUUCCCGGGUCUUGUACACACCGCCCGUCACACCACGAGAGUUUGUAACACCCGAAGCCGGUGGAGUAACCUUUUAGGAGCUAGCCGUCGAAGGUGGGACAAAUGAUUGGGGUGAAGUCGUAACAAGGUAGCCGUAUCGGAAGGUGCGGCUGGAUCACCU
This 1307-nucleotide ribosomal RNA is filed under the name Staphylococcus aureus VET0446R. Its description in RNAcentral is "bacterial SSU rRNA". It matches the Rfam family "Bacterial small subunit ribosomal RNA", at positions 231 to 1528 of the family's 1533-position model. Lineage: Bacteria; Bacillati; Bacillota; Bacilli; Caryophanales; Staphylococcaceae. The record is from RNAcentral.